Molecule: non-coding RNA, 391 nt
Organism: Taeniopygia guttata (zebra finch)
Lineage: Eukaryota; Metazoa; Chordata; Aves; Passeriformes; Estrildidae
Source: RefSeq, a predicted model, not a curated record
UUUUUGUUCAACUUACAGAUUACAUUAUCUUUUCUUCUUGCAAAUGGUGGUGUUCACAGUAUUCGUGAAUUUCUGCAAAGAUGGAGAAAAAGUAAUAAGGAUCCUUGGUGUUCUCCACAGAGGAAGGACAAGAACUACUAGGCUUACACUAGUUACUUUUUUUUCUCCAAUUAAAUUUAAAAUAUCUUAUCCUCUCCUCAGAGUUUUCACAUAUAUGACUCACCUCAUUCAUUCUCCUGUUCCCUUCCACCUUCACCACCUCUCUGGUACUGUCCUCAACACUUUGCUUCCUUUAUGUGUUAUCCUUUCUGCUGAUGUAGAAAUACUUCAUAUCACAUGCUAGUUUGAGCUCCUGUUCUUUCUGUUCCAAACCAGAUAUGAAAACCUUUGC